GAGUUUGAUCCUGGCUCAGGAUGAACGCUGGCGGCGUGCCUAACACAUGCAAGUCGAGCGAAGCGCUAUACUUGAAUUCUUCGGAAGGAAAGUAUUGUGACUGAGCGGCGGACGGGUGAGCAACGCGUGGGUAACCUGCCUCAUACAGGGGGAUAACAGUUAGAAAUGACUGCUAAUACCGCAUAAGACCACAGCACCGCAUGGUGCGGGGGUAAAAACUCCGGUGGUAUGAGAUGGACCCGCGUCUGAUUAGCUAGUUGGUAAGGUAAGGGCUUACCAAGGCGACGAUCAGUAGCCGACCUGAGAGGGUGACCGGCCACAUUGGGACUGAGACACGGCCCAAACUCCUACGGGAGGCAGCAGUGGGGAAUAUUGCACAAUGGGGGAAACCCUGAUGCAGCGACGCCGCGUGAGUGAUGAAGUAUUUCGGUAUGUAAAGCUCUAUCAGCAGGGAAGAAAAUGACGGUACCUGACUAAGAAGC
Molecule: ribosomal RNA, 482 nt
Filed under: uncultured bacterium
Lineage: Bacteria
Description: bacterial SSU rRNA
Rfam family: Bacterial small subunit ribosomal RNA
Source: RNAcentral